CUGCAGACCUUCAGAACGUCCUUCUCCUUCAGCUGGAGGGAGCAUGGCAGUGAGCCAAGGAGCUGGGACCCUCUGCUUUGUCCUCCUGCUGUGCUGCUGGCAAGAAACUGAGCUCCGGCCAAGAACUAUGACUCCAGGUUCAACCACUGAAAUGUCAUUCAGCUCAAAACAUCAGGAUAUGCCUGGAGUGCUUGAUGAAAUUCUAGUCCAGGAGAUUUUGGAUCCGAAUAGAACAGCAUCGACUGAAAUGCCAAGUACAGCAUCAACAUUAUCAACAACAAUACAUGCUGGUAUUGAUGAGAAUUAUCAAGCGGGUGGUUCUGAGAAUUAUCAUGAAUUAUUAGAGAAUCUACAGUUUUCUUCUGGCACUGAGGACAAAAUUUCCAAUGACGAAACCAGUGCUAAUGCGAAUCUCCAUGGUGCUCAUUCUGAGAAUUAUCACGGGCCACAGGUGUCUCCUGACAGUGAGGAGAGUUUCCAGCAAAGAAAAGAAGAAUUCAAAAAACACUCAGUAUGAAAAUCUAUCCAUUCUGGACAAAAUUCUUCAAAAUAUGGAAAGAUCUUCAGGAAACAAUUUCCGUAAAGAGCAGCCGAGGACGAGUGCUCAGAGCAGGCGCCCAGGCAGUCAGUGAGGCCGCAGCCACCGGAGCCCCGAGCGGGAGACGCACCUGCGAGGACCUCCGCCCACCAGCCUCUGGGGCAGGGCACAUGUGUGCACGCGCCCACAUUGCGUGAGCCAUUUGCAUAAAGGAAAAUCGUUAUUUCACACCA
Cebus imitator (Panamanian white-faced capuchin) is the source of this 771-nucleotide RNA transcript. It is a transcript of the gene named sperm acrosome associated 7, with no coding region annotated. The record is from RefSeq and is a predicted model, not a curated record. NCBI's taxonomy places the organism in Eukaryota, Metazoa, Chordata, Mammalia, Primates, Cebidae. The transcript is spliced from 7 exons.